AGGAAGGCGGAACCGCAACCCAGAUGCCUUCCUGGUUUGGAGGCGACCCCGAGGCGGUGACGCUCGGUGCCCGGACUUGUCCAGCUCCCGAAGGAUCGGGGUUGGAGGCCAGCCUGCGCUGCACCCGGAGACCCUGUACCCAAAGAGAAGUCCCCCCCCAGACCCGAACCGCUGCUGCACGCUGCGUGAGGCCUCCACCGCGCGAGGUUUCUCUGCUUAGGAGACACAUUCUCUCUCUCUGACUGGCUUCAGAGACUCGGCAGUCUUCAUCUCCCAGCAUGAGAUUCUAGAUGGCAGCGAUCUUGGGAUGAUGCAGAAGGCACCAUGGUGCUGAGAAGAAGUGACA
Molecule: long non-coding RNA, 346 nt
Organism: Jaculus jaculus (lesser Egyptian jerboa)
Lineage: Eukaryota; Metazoa; Chordata; Mammalia; Rodentia; Dipodidae
Exons: 3
Source: RefSeq, a predicted model, not a curated record